RNAcentral lists this ribosomal RNA (253 nucleotides) under uncultured bacterium. RNAcentral's name for it is "partial 16S ribosomal RNA". It matches the Rfam family "Bacterial small subunit ribosomal RNA", at positions 524 to 776 of the family's 1533-position model. The record is from RNAcentral.
UACGGGUGGGGCAAGCGUUGUUCGGAAUUACUGGGCGUAAAGGGCUCGUAGGCGGCCAACUAAGUCAGACGUGAAAUCCCCAGGCUUAACCUGGGAACUGCGUCUGAUACUGGAUGGCUUGAGAUUGGGAGAGGGAUGCGGAAUUCCAGGUGUAGCGGUGAAAUGCGUAGAUAUCUGGAGGAACACCGGUGGCGAAGGCGACAUCCUGGACCAACACUGACGCUGAGGAGCGAAAGCCAGGGGAGCAAACGGG